GACGAACGCUGGCGGCGUGCUUAACACAUGCAAGUCGAACGGAAAGGCCCCUUUGGGGGUACUCGAGUGGCGAACGGGUGAGUAACACGUGAGUAACCUGCCCUUGACUUCGGGAUAACUUCAGGAAACUGGGGCUAAUACCGGAUAGGAAUCCUUGCUGCAUGGUGGGGGUUGGAAAGCUUCGGCGGUUUUGGAUGGACUCGCGGCUUAUCAGCUUGUUGGUGGGGUAGUGGCUUACCAAGGCUUUGACGGGUAGCCGGCCUGAGAGGGCGACCGGCCACAUUGGGACUGAGAUACGGCCCAGACUCCUACGGGAGGCAGCAGUGGGGAAUCUUGCACAAUGGGCGGAAGCCUGAUGCAGCAACGCCGCGUGCGGGAGGACGGCCUUCGGGUUGUAAACCGCUUUCAGCAGGGGCGAAGCUUGUGGUGACGGUACCUGCAGAAGAAGCACCGGCUAACUACGUG
Molecule: ribosomal RNA, 465 nt
Filed under: uncultured bacterium
Lineage: Bacteria
Description: partial 16S ribosomal RNA
Rfam family: Bacterial small subunit ribosomal RNA
Source: RNAcentral